Molecule: long non-coding RNA, 2905 nt
Filed under: Homo sapiens (human)
Lineage: Eukaryota; Metazoa; Chordata; Mammalia; Primates; Hominidae
Description: HSALNT0342543
Rfam family: Histone 3' UTR stem-loop (bases 318-364)
Source: RNAcentral
GCAAUCCACAAGGGCUGCUAUGAGCCACUCUGCCCACUCUGCUCUGGGAUAGCUCUGCUCUGUCUAUGGAGCAGUCAUUUGGCUGGACACUGUUGCUGUAAGAACUUGCUUUUCUUGAAUUGUUUCCUGAGCAAAGCCAAGAACUCUCCCAGGGUGAGCCCCAAUUCUGGGGUUCACUUGUAUCAGCCUGGCAACCAUGAAGGAAUAAACAACACUGAACAAGAUGAACAUGACAAAGGGGCUCAGUAAAAAUUGGGGCUCUGGAGCUAUAACACUAUGGAGCUCUAACUCUAUAAGGCUGUAGAGCUGUACAGGAGCCAAAGGCUCUUUUUAGAGCCAAUCAUCAUUCCUGGUGACUAAUAAUCUAAGCAAAACUGAGGGAAACCUUCACCCAGAUGCCAAUUUAAGACCAAUCAACACCAUAUGGCUUCGAAGGACAGAUCACACAGUCACUCUUCAUCACAGCUGGAGAAUCUGAAUUUACGAGUAUCUUGCAUCAAAACGCUGCCUCAGAGAGAACAGAAAGUGAAAAUACAGAUUCCUGAAAUCAUACAAUAAGAGUAAAUGGGGCAUAGGAUUGGACAGUUAAGAAGAUGGGUGCACCAAGCAAGUGGUAUGCAGUAAUUAAGCAAAGAAGCACAGAGAUCAGGUGUCCAACCCACUCAGACACGUGGAUUACGGCUGGAGGUGGGGCAGAGUAAGACGAAAUAUCGAUGCUCCUUCUGCUUUUACAAAGUGCCAACUUCAAAGACUUUCUUUAUAUUUACUAACCGAAUUCCUCAAAAUAUAACUGACACUUUAGAACAUGAAAGUAAUAGAAUGAUUAAAUUAGAAAAAAACAUAUUUUUGCUUGUGAAUGAACAUGAGUCUCCAGUUCUUAAUUCAUGAGGAUUUUACCAACAAUGCCCUCUUAGAAAAAGAGAGAAAAAUACAGUUUCAGCUAGAAAAAUCCUAAAAUGACUAAGUUUUUAUAAAACUACACAGAGAUUUGAGGCAGUAACAAUGUCAAGAAAAACGUUCCCAAAUACUUUCAGGAUUUUAAAUGUGGGCUCAGAGUUAAGUAGAAAGGAGUGGGAAACGCCACUGUCAAGACGAUAUAAAUUCACUUUCUGCUUCUCCAUACACAAAACUGUCUCUUUUAAGUCUGUACGGUCAGAUUCAUGCAAAGAGCAGAUUUAUGGAGACCAAUGUUCUGCUUGUAAGAGUAAACAAUCCAAACUAGGCUAAGAACACCGGAAAAGCUGGAAGCUGCAAAGAGUUCAAAUUGCUACAUGUCUAUAAAGUCACAACAAAACAGCUCCAGAGAAGGGUAAUUUGGGAGAAACAAAUGGGAAAAGGCAGGAGGGAGACUUUGAAAUGAAGAGCAACUGAGAGAAUAAUCAGGGAUGUGAUUAAGGUUGGCCUACUAAUAAGAGUACGGUUAUAGAAAAUACCCAUAUUCAAAGCCUUCCUCAUACAACUCCCAGAAUGAAGAUAUUCCUGCCAUUCCAGUCUCAGCUCAAAUAACCCCCUCUCAGGAAGCUUUUCCCUGAACACCCAGUUUAAAGUUGCCCCUCUUGUUCCUUUCCAUGGUAUCAUCCCGUUUCCUUUUCUCCAGAGCUGGCAAAAGAGACCUGUUUUAUGUUUAUUGUCUGUCUCCUCCUUCGCUACAUUAUAAGCUCCAUGAGGGCAGGGUCUUUCCUUGUCUGUCUGCUUCAUUACUGUAUCCCCAAGGCUUAGAACACUGCUGGCUACAAUAUAUAUUAGGUUCAAAAAUGCUGAAGCAAUAGUGCUAAUGAAAAAUAAUAUAAUAGGGGUGGCACCUAAAGAUCAUUUGGCCAGGCAUGGAGGCUCAUGCCUGUAAUCCUGGCACUUUGGGAGGCCCAGGUGGGCAGAUCACAUGAGGCCAGGAGUUCAGCCUGGCCAACAUGGUAAAACCCGUCUCUAUUAAAAAUACAAAAAUUAGCCAGGCAUGGUGGUGCACACCUGUAGUCCCAGAUACUUGGGAGGCUGAGGCAUGAGAAUCGCUCAAACCUGGGAGGCAGAAGUUGCAGUGAGCUCAGAUCGUACCACCGCACUCCAGUCUUGGUGACAGAGUGAGACACAGUUUCAAAAAAAAACAGCAAAUGUUAUGUAUACAAGUAUUGAGUUUCUGAAACCCAUAAAUUAAAAUAUAUAGUACUGGCUAAAAACAUAAAAUAGACUUUUAACACUAGAGCUUGACUAGUCUUUGGCUUUUUUUCAAGUAGUAUUAUUAAAAGCAGUACCAUUUAUGCCCCACAAUUAUGAAAAUGUAACCUGGUUUUAGUCUCUAACAAGAAUAAUGAAAGAUUUCACAAGAUAAUCAGAGCAGAAGGCAAUGGCAUUUCUCAAUAAAAUGUGGAAAAAAAAGAUUUCAAGAGUGUCCACAUUUCCAAUUUUUUUUAAAAAAAGAUGUGAAAUUGACAUACAAUAAAAUGUACAAUUCAAUGAGUUUUGAUAAACAUAUACAUCCACAACCAACACUCCAAUCAAGAUAUAAAACAUUUUCAACACCUUGGAAAGUUUCCUUGAACCCCCUUACUGUCAAUUCCCACUAUCUCAUAGGCAAUUACUUGUUAGGAUUUCUACCACUGUAGUUUAGCUUUGCCUGUCUUUGAACUUCAUGCAAACAUAAGAUUAAUUCGUACUGUUCUUUUUUAUUGAUGAGUAGUAUUCCCUUAUAUGAAUAUACCACAAUAUAUAUAUCUCCAUUCUCCUGUUGAUGGACAUUUCAGUUUCCAGUUUGAGCUAUUUUGAAUAAAGCUUUUAUAAAUAUUCUUUAAUAUUCUUCUAAAUAUUCAACCCUUUGUUGGUAAUAUUCAUUGAAAAAACUUCCAGUCUUGUGCUUGUCUUUUCAUUUUGUUUACAAUAACUUUGGUUGAAUAAAAGCAUAUGUUUACAACCA